Plectropomus leopardus (leopard coralgrouper) is the source of this 1025-nucleotide non-coding RNA. The record is from the annotation of a RefSeq genome assembly. Lineage: Eukaryota; Metazoa; Chordata; Actinopteri; Perciformes; Serranidae.
UAAAGAAGAUAAAAAUGAAGACUAUCAAAGAACAUUUUACCCAGACACGACUUUGCACAUGAAUAUUAAUAAUGUUUCUAAAUGUAUAUAUUAUAUAGCAAAUCUUAAAACGUUAUACAUUGAUAAUAGUCUCAUGAAGACUGCUGAUUUGGUUAAAUCUUUAUUAUUUUUAAAAUUUUUAAAACCAUCAACAACGAAGAAGCAAGCAAUAAAGAGACUUUUUCACAAUGCAGACUGAGAACAGGAGCAGAGUAAAACCAGUAGCAGAGUCUCAGAGAAUAAUUUCCAUUGAGAGCCACUUUGCAUCAGCAGCUCCAUGCUCCAGUGCUCUGGGAGAGUUUAUAGUCCUGAGAGUUGAACUCUGGAUGACUGACAGCUGUCCUUCAUGACAACAGAAGACACAGAAAUGGUCCUCAUCAAAAACAUGACUUUGACCUGUGUCCUCAUCUGGACUCUCCUCUGCUGCUGCUUCACAGAGUCCAGAGGUCAGGUCACAGUGACUCAGUCUGGAGCAGUGAGAUCUGCUGUGGGAGGCUCCGUCUCCAUCACAUGUAGGACCAGUCAUGAUGUUUAUGUGUGGGGCAACAACCAUGAUUUAUCCUGGUACCAACAGAGAGACGGAGAAACUCCUAAACUGCUCAUUUACUUUACUAGCACUCGAGCAUCAGGGAUCCCAGAUCGUUUUACAGGCAGAGGAUCAAACUCUGACUUCACUCUGACCAUCAGUGGAGUUCAGACUGAAGAUGCAGCAGUUUACUACUGUACGUUUGAACAUUACAUCAACAAUCAGUGGCUGUUCACACAGUGAAAAAGCGUCGUACAAAAACCUCCCUCAGUCAGACUGAACAGAAACUGAAGUGACAGCUGCAGCUGGAAGCUACUGCAGAGACUGAUACACUUCACUGACACACACACACACACACACAUAUAUAUACAGCAUGUCUGGUAUCAUCUUAUUUAUACUAUCUAAAAAAAAUCUGAUAUGCCGAUGACACCCUAUUCUACAAGACAAAAUCUUCAUCCUU